AAGCCUGCUGAUUACCAGGUUAAUGUAGAAUCUUGUCCCAUAGGGCACUUUUCCUCCUACAUCUGUUUCCUCCUGUGUAUGGACUUUGCAGUGGUCAUCUGUAAGAAGACUACAGAUUUCCUGGCUGAGUGAGGAAGGCAGCAUUGGCCACACCAAUUUUGACAGGAGAGCAUUUGGAAAUCCAGGUUGAUAUAGGCACAUGGUAUGGGAUGGCAAGCAAGUGCAUGGUGGAUAAUAUACCAAAGGAAUCAAAAAAUCUAAGAUUCCAAGUUGCAUUUUGA
This 281-nucleotide long non-coding RNA is filed under the name Chrysolophus pictus (golden pheasant). RNAcentral's name for it is "lncRNA (ENSCPIG00010009155.1)". The record is from RNAcentral. Lineage: Eukaryota; Metazoa; Chordata; Aves; Galliformes; Phasianidae.